Molecule: ribosomal RNA, 467 nt
Filed under: Johnius carouna
Lineage: Eukaryota; Metazoa; Chordata; Actinopteri; Sciaenidae
Description: partial large subunit ribosomal RNA
Rfam family: Bacterial large subunit ribosomal RNA
Source: RNAcentral
AUGGUAAAACGAGGGCUUAGCUGUCUUCUUUUUUAUGUCAAUGAAAUUGAUUUUCUCGUGCAAAAGCGAGGAUAACCUCAUAAGACGAGAAGACCCUGUGAAGCUUUAGAUAAUGUACAGAUUUGGUCAAGGACCCCCUGAUAAGGGAUUUAGUUACUGACUUCUGUUUUAUUGUCUUCGGUUGGGGCGACCACGGGGAGUCAUACAACCCCCGCGUGGAGUGGGUACAAGAGUAUUUUUGUCCUUAGAAUUAAGAGCUUCUGCUCUAAAAAACAGAAUUUCUGACCUUGUAAGAUCCGGCAGUGCCGAUUAACGGACCAAGUUACUCCAGGGAUAACAGCGCCAUCCUCUUUCAGAGUUCUUAUCGACAAGGGGGUUUACGACCUCGAUGUUGGAUCAGGACAUCCUAAUGGUGCAGUCGCUAUUAAGGGUUCGUUUGUUCAACGAUUAAUAGUCCUACGUGAUCU